GGCUUCUCUCCAGGUGGGUGUCAGCCUCGCCAGAAUCUCUGCCGCCACCGCCGCCAUCCUCGCUGCCUCCCCUCUGGCAGGGCUCGCUCACCCAGUGGCAGGCUAAGUGGAGUCUGACGGCUGGCGGCUAACCGGUGGCACCCCAGGCCCAGCAUGCACUCUGCCUCCCGCUGUUUGCAGGCGGUCUCUGCCUGCCUGGUGUGCACCGAGGGCUACGAUGCGGGCAGGCGUCGGCCAAAGUUGCUGCAGUGCGGACUAGGGAUGUCACGAGAACCGAUACUUGCGAUACCUUUCGGUACUAAAAUAACAAAGAACCGACGAUACCCAUUUUUUUGAAGUACCUGCGGACACACCUUCUGUCUGAGCUGCCUGAGCGAGACAGCGCGCCGUCCGCCCGCACCAAACCGUGGAGCUCUUCAACAGCCGGGUCGGGGUCGGGGAUGCUGCCGAGAAGUGACGCUGCUCCCAGACCCACACAAUGCCGCCACACACCUGGCCGACAACUUUGCCAUUGUGGAGUUCAUCACGGACGAUCACAGCGCGACCGAGCCGGAGGCUCACUGUGUCAAACAUCCAGACGAAAGGGAGAAAUAUUUCUGCGUGUCCUUCUACAGGCUGCUUUGCCCUUGCUGUGCUCUUGAGCAUGCAUCUCAGACUCCAUCGCACAGCGUCCAGGCUGUGGAGUCGGCUGCAGGCCACUUCAGACAGAGGCUCCGCGCCGCUCUGGGUUACUGCAGGGAGAGACGGGCGCUGCUCGACCGCGCUCUGCGAGACGCAGCCGAGGAGCGGCGGCGGAUCGGCGCUCUCCUCUAGUCGCUGGAGCACCUGACGGGAAACGUGUGCGACGCUGAGCUGCUGUCUCAGAGGCACACCCUGAUGGGGCUCCAGGAUCCUCAUCUCUCCCCACCCAAAACACAGAAGCCCUCAUCACCUCUCAGACUCAGCCCCUGACAGCUCAGUUCCCAACCACAUCCCCUCUCUCCCCCUCUCUCUCUCUCUCUCUC
Long non-coding RNA from Clupea harengus (Atlantic herring), 1004 nucleotides. Lineage: Eukaryota; Metazoa; Chordata; Actinopteri; Clupeiformes; Clupeidae. The record is from Ensembl.